Molecule: transfer RNA, 71 nt
Filed under: Bos taurus (domestic cattle)
Lineage: Eukaryota; Metazoa; Chordata; Mammalia; Artiodactyla; Bovidae
Also listed under: 4 other names
Rfam family: tRNA
About the family: Transfer RNA (tRNA) molecules are approximately 80 nucleotides in length.
Source: Rfam by way of RNAcentral
CCCUCAUAGCUCAGUUGGUAAAGAAUCUGCCUGCAAUGCAGGAGACCCUGGUUCGAUUCCUGAAUGAGGAA